RNAcentral lists this ribosomal RNA (356 nucleotides) under uncultured bacterium. Its description in RNAcentral is "bacterial SSU rRNA". It matches the Rfam family "Bacterial small subunit ribosomal RNA", at positions 8 to 350 of the family's 1533-position model. The record is from RNAcentral.
AGAGUUUGAUCAUGGCUCAGGAUGAACGCUAGCUACAGGCUUAACACAUGCAAGUCGAGGGGAAACGACAUCGAAAGCUUGCUCUUGAUGGGCGUCGACCGGCGCACGGGUGAGUAACGCGUAUCCAACCUGCCCAUCACUUGGGGAUAACCUUGCGAAAGUAAGACUAAUACCCAAUGACGUCUCUAGAAGACAUCUGAAAGAGAUUAAAGAUUUAUCGGUGAUGGAUGGGGAUGCGUCUGAUUAGCUUGUUGGCGGGGUAACGGCCCACCAAGGCGACGAUCGAGUAGGGGUUCUGAGAGGAAGGUCCCCCANAUUGGAACUGGAGACACGGUCCAAACUCCGUACGGGAGGCA